ACGAAACAUCCUCUGAUUUGAUACCCUGGCAGAAAAGGGCCCAUUCUCGUUUGUAUGAAUGUAUCCUUCAAAUGCAAGUUUAACAAAUAAAAUUUUAAAUAAUGUCAUCUUAAGCAUCUUCAAGUCCAGUCACUGAGCUCAUCAUUUAAAGACAGUCUGACAAAACAAACCGACCAUUCUUUGUACAAUUGUACCAUUAUUCCUCUGUGUGUUUUAGUGUCGCAAUCAUCACAACAGAAAAGUUAAAACUUAAAACCCUACAUUCACUGUUAAAAGUAAACUAUCAUCACAACAAAGAAAAUUCAACCUAAAACAUGCAAUCAUCAAUGCCAGUUCUAAGCUUAAAACCAUCAAAUAAGCUUUAAAAAAGGCAUUAUUUUCUCAGGAUUGCUUUCACUGCGUAUGGAUGAUACUUACCGUGAUUGUAGAGAAUGGCCGGUACAGCAAUGUAGAAGAGAAGCCAAAAUGCAAUGCCUCACUGCCUCAUAGAUGAAGAAAAGUUGAGAAGAUUAAUGAAGAAGAAAAGUUAGAUGAGGAAAAUACGUAAGAUCGCCGCGGUUUGGCGGUGGGGAAGAACGUGAUUUUCUCUGUUUGUCAAAGUCCAACUGCGUGACUGGAUCGAUGCUCGUCAUACCCAAAAUAUUUAUUCAAAAAAAUAUAAUGAAUUGUACUCCGUAACAACUUUUGCAUAUGUGGCGGUUGGCUUGGUCUUCUGAUAUUAGUUGGUCAUAGAUUGCAUUUAUUGUGGUUUAAUAUUGUAAUUUUGUGGUUAUUAAGUUAACUGUUUAGUUAAUUUGAAUAGGUUGUCUUAUCA
This is a long non-coding RNA of Ipomoea triloba (trilobed morning glory), 814 nucleotides long. RefSeq lists it as uncharacterized. The record is from RefSeq and is a predicted model, not a curated record. NCBI's taxonomy places the organism in Eukaryota, Viridiplantae, Streptophyta, Magnoliopsida, Solanales, Convolvulaceae. The transcript has 2 exons.